This 389-nucleotide long non-coding RNA is filed under the name Pan troglodytes (chimpanzee). RNAcentral describes it as "long non-coding RNA NONPTRT008024". Lineage: Eukaryota; Metazoa; Chordata; Mammalia; Primates; Hominidae. The record is from RNAcentral.
CAGCCUCUCAAAGGGCUGGGAUAACAGAUGUAAGCCACUGCAUCUGGCCUCCAAUGAGUUGUUAUGUGAAGAGAACGUGAUUAAGUUAGAGGACUCCAACCAGGCCUGAACUCUCAAGGACAGAAAUGGGUCCAACCUGGCAUGACAUCCUCUAAAUCUUUAGCUCCCGGCCUCUCAGGUGCCCCCUCCAGCUACCUCCCUCUUCCUUCUCUUCAUUCCCCAAGCCAUAGCUGGUUGGGCCAACCUCCAGACAUUAGCCUCUUUGCAAACUCCUAUUCAUCCCUCAAAGCCUCACCUUCAAUGCUCUCCUCCCCAAGAAGCUCUCUCCUCUACCUCUAGACCUUUUCCAGCCCUCUUCCCUCUUUCCGGCCCAGCCCUGACUCCUGGGA